RNAcentral lists this ribosomal RNA (253 nucleotides) under uncultured bacterium. RNAcentral describes it as "partial 16S ribosomal RNA". It matches the Rfam family "Bacterial small subunit ribosomal RNA", at positions 524 to 776 of the family's 1533-position model. The record is from RNAcentral.
UACGAAGGGGGCUAGCGUUGCUCGGAAUCACUGGGCGUAAAGCGCACGUAGGCGGCUUCUUAAGUCAGGGGUGAAAUCCUGGAGCUCAACUCCAGAACUGCCUUUGAUACUGGGAAGCUUGAGUCCGGGAGAGGUGAGUGGAACUCCGAGUGUAGAGGUGAAAUUCGUAGAUAUUCAGAAGAACACCAGUGGCGAAGGCGGCUCACUGGCCCGGUACUGACGCUGAGGUGCGAAAGCGUGGGGAGCAAACAGG